Molecule: small nuclear RNA, 326 nt
Filed under: Oryctolagus cuniculus (rabbit)
Lineage: Eukaryota; Metazoa; Chordata; Mammalia; Lagomorpha; Leporidae
Description: 7SK RNA
Rfam family: 7SK RNA
About the family: 7SK was discovered as an abundant small nuclear RNA in the mid-70s but a possible function has only recently been suggested. Two independent studies have found that 7SK RNA binds the CDK9/cyclin T complex (known as elongation factor P-TEFb).
Source: Rfam by way of RNAcentral
GGAUGUGAGGGCAAUCUGGUGCGACAUCUGUCACCCCAUUGAUCACCAGGGUUGAUUCGGCUGAUCUGGCUGGCUAGGCGGGUGUCCCCUUCCUCCCUCACCAUAUGUGCGUCCCUCCCAAAGCUGCGCAAUUGGUCGAAGAGGACGACUUUCCCUGCUAGAGGAGGACCGGUCUUCAGUAAAGGGUAUACAAGUAGCUGCACUCCCCUGCUAGAACCUCCAAACAAGCUCUCAAAAUAUAGAUUGUUUACUUUGGAGUUUUUGUUCCAGGACUGUGAAUAGUCAUGGACAUACACAAAGAAAUGGAAUAAUCUCUGAAGAUGUUU